UUCCAUUGACAGUAGCUUAAAACUAGAAAAGCACAAUAUAAAUGGAGUUAAUGAACCAUCUGUAAAACUGAGUUUCUACACAAUUAAUCCUGCAAAAGCACCACUUUAAAGCUUGUGUUCACCAGAACUGUGCUCAGAAGUUUCUUGGAAAUGAGUAAUGAAGCAUAAAUAAGCAUAAAAAAUGACUUGGCAACUAAAGAAAUCUUAGUCGACUAAGAC
Long non-coding RNA from Etheostoma cragini (Arkansas darter), 219 nucleotides. RefSeq lists it as uncharacterized. Lineage: Eukaryota; Metazoa; Chordata; Actinopteri; Perciformes; Percidae. The transcript has 2 exons. The record is from RefSeq and is a predicted model, not a curated record.